RNAcentral lists this transfer RNA (76 nucleotides) under Helicobacter pylori. RNAcentral describes it as "tRNA-Arg". It matches the Rfam family "tRNA". Rfam says of the family: Transfer RNA (tRNA) molecules are approximately 80 nucleotides in length. The record is from RNAcentral. Lineage: Bacteria; Pseudomonadati; Campylobacterota; Epsilonproteobacteria; Campylobacterales; Helicobacteraceae. RNAcentral also lists the same sequence under 2 other names.
GGUCACAUAGCUCAGUGGAUAGAGCACAAACCUCCUAAGUUUGGUGUCGCAGGUUCGACUCCCGCUGUGAUCGCCA